UGACUGCUAUCGGAUUGAUACUAAGCCAUGCGAGUCAUUGUAGCAAUACAAGGCGGACGGCUCAGUAACACGUAGUCAACCUAACCUAUGGACGUGGAUAACCUCGGGAAACUGAGAAUAAACCACGAUAGAUCAUGAUGCCUGGAAUGGCUUAUGGUUCAAACAAUUUAUUGCCGUAGGAUGGGACUGCGGCCUAUCAGCUUGUUGGUGAGGUAAUGGCCCACCAAGGCUAUAACAGGUACGGGCUCUGAGAGGAGAAGCCCGGAGAUGGGUACUGAGACACGGACCCAGGCCCUAUGGGGCGCAGCAGGCGAGAAACCUUAGCAAUGUGCGAAAGCACGACUAGGUUAAUCCGAGUGGUUCCUGCUAAAGGAACCUUUUGUCAGUCAUAAAACCACAGACGAAUAAGGGGUGGGCAAGUCUGGUGUCAGCCGCCGCGGUAAUACCAGCACCUCGAGUGGUCAGGAGGUUUAUUGGGCCUAAAGCAUCCGUAGCCGGCUACGCAAGUCUUCGGUUAAAUCCAACUGCUCAACAGAUGGGCUGCCGGAGAUACUACAUAGCUAGGGAGCGGGAGAGGCAGACGGUAUUCGGUGGGUAGGGGUAAAAUCCACUGAUCCAUCGAGGACCACCAGUGGCGAAGGCGGUCUGCCAGAACGCGUUCGACGGUGUGGGAUGAAAGCUGGGGGAGCAAACCGGAUUAGAUACCCGGGUAGUCCCAGCUGUAAACGAUGCAAACUCGGUGAUGCGUUGGCUUAUGGCCAACGUAGUGCCGCAGGGAAGCCGUUAAGUUUGCCGCCUGGGAAGUACGGACGCAAGUUCUGAAACUUAAAGGAAUUGGCGGGG
This 843-nucleotide ribosomal RNA is filed under the name uncultured archaeon. RNAcentral describes it as "bacterial SSU rRNA". It matches the Rfam family "Archaeal small subunit ribosomal RNA", at positions 24 to 873 of the family's 1478-position model. The record is from RNAcentral.